AUUGCAGGCAAAGAUGGUGUAGAAGGGGGAAAAACAAUUGAGGAAGUCUAGUUGGCGAAGCAGGACUACUUAGCAAGAGUAUGGUCUGAGCCCAAGGAAACCAUCUACAACCAAGUGUUCAGGAGAGUAAGUUAAGAAGGGAAGUGGCAGAAGGAUCAUGAGUUCCUUGCUUGCAGAGUAAGUGGGGAGAUGAGAAGGAGGAAGCAAUGCUUU
RNAcentral lists this long non-coding RNA (213 nucleotides) under Homo sapiens (human). Its description in RNAcentral is "non-protein coding lnc-METTL13-5:1". Lineage: Eukaryota; Metazoa; Chordata; Mammalia; Primates; Hominidae. The record is from RNAcentral.